UACGGGGGGGGCAAGCGUUGUUCGGAAUUACUGGGCGUAAAGGGCUCGUAGGUGGCCAACUAAGUCAGACGUGAAAUCCCUCGGCUUAACCGGGGAACUGCGUCUGAUACUGGAUGGCUUGAGUUCGGGAGAGGGAUGCGGAAUUCCAGGUGUAGCGGUGAAAUGCGUAGAUAUCUGGAGGAACACCGGUGGCGAAGGCGGGUUGCUGGGCUGACACUGACGCUGAUGUGCGAAAGCUAGGGGAGCGAACGGG
RNAcentral lists this ribosomal RNA (253 nucleotides) under uncultured bacterium. RNAcentral's name for it is "partial 16S ribosomal RNA". It matches the Rfam family "Bacterial small subunit ribosomal RNA", at positions 524 to 776 of the family's 1533-position model. The record is from RNAcentral.